GUUGGGAAUUUUGGACAAUGGGGGAAACCCUGAUCCAGCGACACCGCGUGCGCGAUGAAGGCCUUCGGGUUGUAAAGCGCUGUCGGAAGUGAAGAAGAUUGGACCCAUGAAUAAUGGGACCAGUCAGACGUUAGCUUCGGAGGAAGCCACGGCUAACUCUGUGCCAGCAGCCGCGGUAAGACAGAGGUGGCGAGCGUUGUCCGGAUUUACUGGGCGUAAAGGGUGUGUAGGCGGUCGUGUAAGUCAGUUGUGAAAUCCGUCGGCUCAACCGAAGAAGAGCGACUGAUACUGCACGGCUGGAGUGCGGAAGAGGAAAGUGGAAUUCCUGGUGUAGCAGUGAAAUGCGUAGAUAUCAGGAAGAACACCAAUGGCGAAGGCGACUUUCUGGUCCGCUACUGACGCUGAGGCACGAAAGCCAGGGGAGCGAACGGGAUUAGAUACCCUGGUAGUCC
RNAcentral lists this ribosomal RNA (452 nucleotides) under uncultured bacterium. RNAcentral describes it as "bacterial SSU rRNA". It matches the Rfam family "Bacterial small subunit ribosomal RNA", at positions 354 to 796 of the family's 1533-position model. The record is from RNAcentral.